AUGUAGCUAAUAUGAUGAAUCAAUACCUCAAAUAAUAAAUGUCAUUACAUGAGCUAGAAAAUUAUAAAGAAAAGUCCCAUCGCAACAUACUUGCGAUUGGCUUAUAGGGUACUCUUCUUUCAAUCUCCCACUUGUACUAAAGUCAAUCACCUUUAUAUCUCAUAUAAUUAAGAUGGUGAUUAUAUAGCUGCUUUGGUAUGACCUUAGUGAAUGGAUCUGUUAUAUUAUUUUUCUGUCUACUCAUUCAAGGACAACAUCUUGUCUCUAACGAGAUGAAAGCGUCUGAGGAUGUGCUUGGAUUUAUAAUGAGACCUU
Molecule: long non-coding RNA, 315 nt
Filed under: Elaeis guineensis (African oil palm)
Lineage: Eukaryota; Viridiplantae; Streptophyta; Magnoliopsida; Arecales; Arecaceae
Description: long non-coding RNA (EGUI_LNC071088)
Source: RNAcentral